Long non-coding RNA from Trifolium pratense (red clover), 1265 nucleotides. RefSeq lists it as uncharacterized. The transcript has 3 exons. The record is from RefSeq and is a predicted model, not a curated record. NCBI's taxonomy places the organism in Eukaryota, Viridiplantae, Streptophyta, Magnoliopsida, Fabales, Fabaceae.
UUUGCUUUCUGAAAAUGACACACAAAAGCGCUUUUCUGGAAAUUACUUUCCCGCUCACAAAGUCGCAUUCCCACCAAAAUCGCUUACACUCCCAAAAUCACUUUCCCAGCAAUGUUUUAACUCGCUUUACAUUCCCGACAAAAUCAACUCAAAAUCGCUUAAAUGCAAACUCUCAGCAAAAUCACCGAAUCGGCGCAAAAUCACUUAUUCGGAGCUAAAUCGUACUUGAUGAUUUCGUUUCUUCUACUUCUUCUUCAUCGGAGCUAAAUCGGACUUCAAGAUUUUGUUUCUUCUUCUUCUGAGCACAAUUUUCGUUUCUUACACACUGAAGAGUCCACACUUUCACUUCUAAUAGGUAAUACCACCCUGUAGUUCUAUGUGGUUUUGCUGCUUCAUAUUGGUAAUACCACCCUGCUUCAUAUAGAUAGUUUAUUCUUUUUAAAAUAAUAUUGGAUUAUUUGCAGUUUUGAUAAAUAAUAUUGGAUUAUUUACUACUCUGAUACACGGUUUUGGUGUGUAGUUCUAUGUGGUUUUGCUGCUUCAUAUAGAUAAUUUACAAAGGAAUAACUUGUGUUUAAAAUUGAAAGGCUGCAUGCAUGUAUGCAUAAUGAUAUACGGAACAGGUUGUAGGAUGGUGAUGAUGUCUCUUGGUAGUGUACAGCUUGUAGCUUCUAAAUCUUGAGAGUUGUUGGAUUUAACUAUGAGCAUUCUAAAGUUGGUGAAUCAAUUAUGGAGAUUUCUGGACAUUAUUCAUGUCUCAACCUUCUCCCGUUAAUCAAGUUUACAACAAAUCAGAGUAUAGAAGGAAUUAAAGGACUCUUAAGGAAUUGGUGACUUGAAGUCGGAAUCUUGAGCUUAAACAAAGAUUGAUCAUCAUUUAAAAGAGGUUUUGCAACAAAACUAGACCAUCAGCUGCAUCAUGUUCAUCAGGAGUGAAGACACUGACUUUGGUUUUUAUCUUGAAAACUAGAGAACUUCUAUGUUUCAAGUUGAGAUUCUUGAAACUUUGGUUCUUGCUUAAUUUGGUUUCUUUCAUGUUGUCUUGUGUAAUGGGAGCGUGAACGGAAUGGGUAUUGGAUAGCUUACUAUGUGAAGAAUAAUGUGAAGACUAAGUUGCGAUUCUUGAAAUCUUGAAUUUUGCCUAAUUUGGUUUAAUGGUUUAAUACUUUAAUGAUGUAUCUUGAGCGACAAACAUUCAGUGUUAACUACUCUGAAUAAAAGGAUCAAUAUAUAUAAUGGGUAAGAAACCCUAAUUGUGCAUUAAA